RNAcentral lists this ribosomal RNA (406 nucleotides) under uncultured bacterium. RNAcentral describes it as "bacterial SSU rRNA". It matches the Rfam family "Bacterial small subunit ribosomal RNA", at positions 29 to 418 of the family's 1533-position model. The record is from RNAcentral.
AGCGAACGUUAGCGGCGGGCCUAACACAUGCAAGUCGAACGAGAAUGAGGGGGCAACUCCUCUAGUAAAGUGGCGGACGGGUGCGUAACACGUUGGUAAUCUACCUUCCGGCGGGGGACAACAGUCCGAAAGGAUUGCUAAUACCGCAUACGUCGGCGAGAUCUACGGAUCUUGUCGGGAAAGAUGGCCUCUCCUUGGAAGCUGUCACCGGAAGAUGAACCUGCGGCCCAUCAGCUGUUGGUGAGGUAACGGCUCACCAAGGCUAAGACGGGUAGCUGGUCUGAGAGGAUGAUCAGCCACACUGGGACUGCGACACGGCCCAGACUCCUACGGGAGGCAGCAGUGGGAAUAUUGGGCAAUGGGCGAAAGCCUGACCCAGCCACGCCGCGUGAGUGAUGAAGGCCUU